ACGUAGGGUGCGAGCGUUGUCCGGAAUUAUUGGGCGUAAAGAGCUUGUAGGCGGUUUGUCGCGUCUGCCGUGAAAAUCCGGGGCUCAACCCCGGACUUGCGGUGGGUACGGGCAGACUAGAGUGUGGUAGGGGAGACUGGAAUUCCUGGUGUAGCGGUGAAAUGCGUAGAUAUCAGGAGGAACACCUGCGGUGUAGGCGGCUUCCUGGACCGUUACUGACGCUGAGACACGAAAGCGUGGGGAGCAAACAGGA
Molecule: ribosomal RNA, 253 nt
Filed under: uncultured prokaryote
Description: partial 16S ribosomal RNA
Rfam family: Bacterial small subunit ribosomal RNA
Source: RNAcentral